RNAcentral lists this ribosomal RNA (349 nucleotides) under Phyllospongia papyracea. RNAcentral's name for it is "eukaryotic LSU rRNA". It matches the Rfam family "Eukaryotic large subunit ribosomal RNA", at positions 1 to 342 of the family's 3401-position model. The record is from RNAcentral. Lineage: Eukaryota; Metazoa; Porifera; Demospongiae; Dictyoceratida; Thorectidae.
CUGGACCUCGGAUCAGGCCAGGCUACCCGCUGAAUUUAAGCAUAUUAAUAAGCGGAGGAAAAGAAACUAACAAGGAUUCCCCCAGUAACGGCGAGCGAAGCGGGAACAGCUCAAAUUUGAAAUCUCCGGUGCCUGCACCGGCGAAUUGUAGUCUGUAGGGCCAGUUUCGCCCGAGACAGCGUCCCCAAAGUCGUCCUGGAAAGGCGAGCCGGAGAGGGUGAGAGCCCCGUACGCGGGGGCGCUGUCGAGGGUAAGAUCUGUGCCCGAAGAGUCGGGUUGUUUGGGAUUGCAGCCCAAAAUGGGUGGUAAACUCCAUCUAAAGCUAAAUACCGGCACGAGACCGAUAGCG